AGUUGAGAAGUGAAACAUUACAUCUAGUUUCGACCUAGAAUUUGGCUUAACUUUUAGCCCUCAACUA
This 67-nucleotide transfer RNA is filed under the name Plesionika izumiae. Its description in RNAcentral is "tRNA-Arg". RNAcentral also lists the same sequence under 1 other name. Lineage: Eukaryota; Metazoa; Arthropoda; Malacostraca; Decapoda; Pandalidae. The record is from RNAcentral.